CUUUCGCGGUAUGGGAUGGGGUCGCGUCCUAUCAGCUUGACGGCGGGGUAACGGCCCACCGUGGCUUCGACGGGUAGCCGGCCUGAGAGGGCGACCGGCCACAUUGGGACUGAGAUACGGCCCAGACUCCUACGGGAGGCAGCAGUGGGGAAUAUUGCACAAUGGGCGCAAGCCUGAUGCAGCGACGCCGCGUGAGGC
This 198-nucleotide ribosomal RNA is filed under the name Bifidobacterium sp. 182. RNAcentral describes it as "partial 16S ribosomal RNA". It matches the Rfam family "Bacterial small subunit ribosomal RNA", at positions 210 to 407 of the family's 1533-position model. The record is from RNAcentral. Lineage: Bacteria; Bacillati; Actinomycetota; Actinomycetes; Bifidobacteriales; Bifidobacteriaceae.